Molecule: ribosomal RNA, 325 nt
Filed under: Candidatus Omnitrophota bacterium
Lineage: Bacteria; Pseudomonadati; Candidatus Omnitrophota
Description: Candidatus Omnitrophica bacterium (sediment metagenome) partial 23S ribosomal RNA
Rfam family: Bacterial large subunit ribosomal RNA
Source: RNAcentral
CUGGGUUUAGAACGUCGUGAGACAGUUCGGUCUCUAUCCAGUGUGGGCACAUGAUGAUUGAAAAGGAGCUCUCCUUAGUACGAGAGGACCGGGAGAGACGAACCUCUAGUGUUCCGGUUAUCCCGCCAGGGGUAAUGGCCGGGUAGCUAAGUUCGGAAGGGAUAAGUGCUGAAUGCAUAUAAGUACGAAGCCCCCCUUAAGAUGAAUCAUCGAUUCUCCUUCGGGAGAUGAAGGCACCUCGUAGACUACGAGGUUGAUAGGCAGGGUGUGUAAGGCCUGAAAGGGCUUCAGCUAACCUGUACUAAUUAGCCAAACACUUGUCCUU